RNAcentral lists this ribosomal RNA (460 nucleotides) under uncultured bacterium. Its description in RNAcentral is "partial 16S ribosomal RNA". It matches the Rfam family "Bacterial small subunit ribosomal RNA", at positions 338 to 795 of the family's 1533-position model. The record is from RNAcentral.
CCUACGGGUGGCAGCAGUGAGGAAUAUUGGUCAAUGGACGCAAGUCUGAACCAGCCAUGUCGCGUGCAGGAAGACGGCUCUAUGAGUUGUAAACUGCUUUUGUACGAGGGUAAACGCAGAUACGCGUAUCUGUCUGAAAGUAUCGUACGAAUAAGGAUCGGCUAACUCCGUGCCAGCCGCCGCGGUAAUCCGGAGGAUUCAAGCGUUAUCCGGAUUUGUUGGGUUUAAAGGGUGCGUAGGCGGUCGGAUAAGUUAGAGGUGAAAUCCCGAGGCUCAACUUCGGAAUUGCCUCUGAUACUGUUCGGCUAGAGAGUAGUUGCGGUAGGCGGAAUGUAUGGGGUAGCGGUGAAAUGCUUAGAGAUCAUACAGAACACCGAUUGCGAAGGCAGCUUACCAAGCUACUUCUGACGUUGAGGCACGAAAGCGUGGGGAGCAAACAGGAUUAGAUACCCGGGUAGUC